RNAcentral lists this transfer RNA (94 nucleotides) under compost metagenome. RNAcentral's name for it is "tRNA-Sec". The record is from RNAcentral.
UGGCUCCUACGGAAAUCCCGUGUCCGGGCAGUCCUCAGAGCUGCUGGAGGUAGGCGCUGCCGCCCAGCUGGUUCAUCUGUCGGCGGAUCCAGCC